RNAcentral lists this small nuclear RNA (60 nucleotides) under Spermophilus dauricus (Daurian ground squirrel). The record is from RNAcentral. Lineage: Eukaryota; Metazoa; Chordata; Mammalia; Rodentia; Sciuridae.
GUGCUCUCUUUGGCAGCAUAUUUACUAAAAUUGGAAUGAUGCAGAGAAGAUUAGCAAGGC